This 6250-nucleotide long non-coding RNA is filed under the name Olea europaea (common olive). RNAcentral describes it as "long non-coding RNA (OEUR_LNC014157)". The record is from RNAcentral. Lineage: Eukaryota; Viridiplantae; Streptophyta; Magnoliopsida; Lamiales; Oleaceae.
UACUGGGCACCGGGUCGUCGCCUGCAAGUGCGAAGGGACCUGAAAGGGUAAAUUUGGUAUUAAAAAAUAUUUUUACACGCCUGCGAGUCGCAAUUUUUAUUUCUUGCACAAUAUUUUAAUUAUAAUUAAAAUUCUUAAUCUUUACAAAUUGCCACCCUUAUUUCUCUAACGAACUUUUAUAUUAUUCUUGUCAUUGAACUUUCCAUCAAUUAACAUAUUUUGCAUUUAAUAUAUAUAUUUUUUAUGGCAUUCUUAUUUUCAAAAUUUUCAUUAGUUAACACAUUUUUAUUUGGUAACAGUUUAUGUUCAAAAAAUCAGUUGAAAUAUCGUAUAACAACUUAUUUUUCAUCAUAUUUAAUAAAUAAAUAAAUAAAAUUUUCCUCUUAUUUCAAAGCAUAAAAAUAAAAUAUUAUGAUAUAAAUCAUCAUCAAAGAUAGAUAUACUAAUUAAUGAAAGGUUAAAGAUAAGAAUUCGAUAAAAAAAAGUUAAGUAAAUAAUAGCUACAAAAAGAAAUGAUUGAAAAACUUCAAAAGCAAUUUUAAGAUAUUGCAACAAAUAAAAAUUGUAGCGUCAAUGUAAUCAACGAUCACACAACAUUAUGAGAAUAAGAAUGUGAUAAAAAAAAUUGAGAUAUAAAUGUGAUAAUAUACAAAGGUUAUAAAUUUUCUAUAUAAUUAAAAUAUAGUCUAAUUAUUAAAAUCUGUCAUGUGAAUAUAUUUAGCCUUAAUUUAAUUUAAAACAAUCAUAUUCAAACCAAAAUUUUUGUUAACUAUACCAUAUUUUAAUGGCAACGAAUUUUUUUUAAUAUUUGCUCAUUUUUCACUUAUGUUCCCAAUUUUUCGCCAAAUUCUUAUCAUCAACUUUUUAUUAAUUUACAAAAUUUGAUUCUCAUGACAAUUUCUGUAUAAAAAUUUUAUUAGGAAAGCAUAUAACAAAUGACAAAAAAUCCAACAAACCUGAUACCUAUGGCCUCACCUUGAACGGGGUGAGGAUUGCCCAUUUAAUCGAGUCAAGUACAGGGUGGGGAAUUUUGCCCUGAGGUGGGUAUGGUAACAGGGGCCCGUUCCAUUUAUUUUUUAUUAAGAAUUCAAUACUUUAAAAAGAAAUACUUCAUGAAGUUUCAUUAGUUUUAAAAGAAGAUGACAACUAAAAUUAUCUAAAAAAAUAUGAUAAAUAAUAAAAAUAUUAGUUUACCGGAUAUAUUCAAAUAAUUUAACUUUUAAAAAUUUUAAUAAUUAUAUUAUUAUCUCACUCGAAUAAAUGGGGACAAUAAAAUGAAUUAUCAAAAAUUAUAAAAAAAAAAUUAAAUGGGUACAUAGGUGGGGCAAGAGCCCUUCCCUGCCUGUCGACCUGCCGCACUUUAAAUGGGUAACAAACAGGAUGGGAAAAUGGCCUGCAGGGUGUAGGAUCCCCCCCUCAUUUCCAACUCUAUACAAAAGUUAUAUCUCUUGUAUUUUUAAAUAACUAAAAUAAAUUACAAAUACAAAAGUUCAAUGUAAUAUUUGUCGAAGAGUGGUAUCUUGUUUCUUGAAUUUGAAUAAAUUGUCUCAAAGAUAGCUAAACUUCUGCUUUAGUCCACCAUGGGGCUCCCAAAGGAGGUUUCCAGAUUUUGUUGGAAUUCCUCCAAAGAGGCUCUCAAAAGAGAAAAAAACACAGUGAAGUUUUUAAGAAAUGAAACAUCCAAACCAUGUAUCUUAAAAAUUGCAUACACUAAUCAUGUUGCUACUAACUGUUAAUUUUUCUUGAAAAUUUCAGUGGGAUGAUCUUAUAUGUACACGUUGUAGUAUCAUCCAUUCAACUGAUGAUGUAAUCAUUUGUGUCAUAAUUAAUAUUUAGCCCCUGUUUGUAUCCCAUUUUUUCGAACUUCUUUUUCUAUAUAAUCAAUUUUUACCAUACAUUAUGAUGUGAUCCGGAAUAGACUAAUCCCGGGACCAAGAACUUCCUUUUUUGCAAAGUAGUUUAUUAUGACUAGAAUUCUUGUUUUUGGUAACUUUUCAUAUUUUAGGACUUUUAAUUCCGUUUUAACAGUAUUUUAGGGUUUAGUAUAAAUAGGAUUUUAUUUUUUCAUUGUAAUUGAACUUUGAUUUUGAGAGAUUAAUUCAAGGGGUUGUUUGCUUCCGAUUUCUUUGUUCUUGAUGGAACAAUUUUUCGAACUUAUCAAGAUUAUUAUCUUUGGCGUUCAAAGCUACCGAGUGACAUUCUUGAAUCUUGUAAUUAAGAGGUCGACAUAUCAAUUGAUUGUUGGUUGCUUUAUUCAAAACUACCGGGUGAAUCCCCAACCUUGUUUAUUUGGCUUUCUUGGGUUUGGUUUCAAUCUAGUUGCGGGUUUUGUAGCCAUCUCUACUAUGCGGAUUUACAUCGGUUGGUAUAAGAGUUUGGGCUCCAAAAAUCAAGGUUAUAUCCCUUUUAUUUUUGUUUGAGUCUUUUGAUUUUCCUUUUCCUUGUUUUUCCACGUUCUUCGUGUUCUUCAUUGUUUUUGAGUCUUUAAUCCGUAAAGGUUCCGUCAAAAUUUCAAAAAUUGUUUUUGGGCUAAUUUAACAUUCAAUUCAACUUUCAUUUGUUUUGCGGAUAACGUAGUAAGAUUUUCUCCCAAAAUGAGUUAAAAAAGUCAAAAAAAAUUCAAAAAAAAUUCCAAAAUUCAUAAAAAAUAAAAAAGUGGGAGAGUCAAAAAUUAAAAACAGUUAUUAUUGUCAUCAUCAUCAUCAUCAUCAUUAUAAUUAUGAGAUUUACUACCAACAUCCUACAAUUUGUUUGAGUCAAAAAUCUAUUCUUUCUAGUCCAGCCCAAAAUUCAAGAACCAUUUUCUUGAAUUUUCAUAGUCACAUUCAAAAUUUUCAUCCAAAUUUCUUUGAGUCUUUAAAGGUUAUAAAUUCUCACUUACACUCAGUUUGAAUUCCACAAGAAUAAUUCCUGAUUGAGUUCGAAAUUGUUCUUUGAAACACUUGGACGGAAGCAUUGAGAGGAAAAAAGGUAGAGUGGUGAGACUAAUAGAGGGAAAAAACCGAAGUAAGUGAUACACGAUAGAAAUACACGUGAGACAGAAAAUAUCUUAGAAUUUAGGAUGUCUGACAGAGAAGGUUCAACUUCAAGUAGGAACAACAGCCAAGCUAACAUUUCGGACGAGGUGUUACGAUGGUUUGAGAGGUUGCUUGGGGACAUGAGAGAUAGAACGGAUAGACAUGAGGCUUGGAUGGAAAUGUAAGAUAAAAUACUUGCCAAUUUACAAAUGGGAGCACCCAAUACGAAGAGACAUGGUAGACUCGUCUAGGGCGGAAGUUCGUGAAAAGUUUCGAGAUGAUAGCGAUAAGGAUGAAGGUGCAAGAAUCAAGGUUGAAAUGGAGAGGAUGAGAAAUAGAGGAGCUAGGUUUGAAAGGAGAGGAAGGAAUCUUGUUGUAGACGUGGUAGAUAAGAGUAUGGGCAAUAUAAAAAUGUCAAUUCCACCAUUCAACGGAAGGAGUGAUUCAGAAGCUUACCUAAAGUGGGAGAAGAAUGUAGAAUUGAUUUUCGAUUGCCACAAUUAUUUGGAGGAGAAGAAAGUGAAGAUAGUAGUCAUUGAAUUCACCGACUAUGCAAUUGCUUCGUGAGAUCAAGUGGUUAUAUCAAGGUCGAGGAAUCGGGAGUAGCCUAUCAAUACAUGGGAUGAUUUGAAAGCUAUUAUGUGGAAGAGGUUCGUGCAUAGUCACUAUUAUAGGAAACUCCAUCAAAAAUUACAAAGCCUAUUCCAGGGGUCCAGGAGUAUAGAGGAUUACCAUAAGGAGAUGGAGAUGUUGAUGAUUAAGGAAAAUAUAGAGGAGAAUCGGGAAGUUACAAUGGCUAGGUUCUUGAAUGGAUUGAAUAGGGACAUUGACAAUGUAGUGGAGUUGCAGCACUAUAUGGAAUUAGAAGACAUGCUACAUGUGACUAUGAAGAUGGAGAAGUAACUGAAGAGAAAAGGGGACAGCUAGGUAUUCAUCAAGAUCUUCAGGUUCUACUUCUUGGAAGUCAAAAUGGGAUGAUUAUAGGGUUGAUAGGGUUCUCUUGAAUAGUAGAAUCGAACCACCAAGGAAAAGGAAGAAAUUGCUAGCAAGACUACACCCAAAAUGGAAUCCCAACCUUUUAGGAGUCGGGAUAUCAAAUGCUUCAAGUGGUUGGGAUCGGGGCACAUUGAUUUUCAGUGUCCUAAUAAACAAGAAAUGAUCUUGAGUGUUAAUGGGGAAGUAGUGACUGAUAGUGAUGGAGAUGAGAUGCCUGAACUAGAUGAUGUUAGCAAUGGUGAGGUGGUAGAAUAUUUGGUCGAAGGGAAAGCACUUGUGCUGAUGCAUUCUCUCAAUACAUAAAACAAUGUGGAAGAAAAGGAAUAGCAACGGGAGAACAUCUUUCAUACUAGAUGCCAUGUCGAGAACAAGGUAUGUAGCUUGAUAAUUGAUGGAGGUUGUUGCAUAACAUUGUUAAUACUAUGCUUAUUGAGAAGUUAAGACUAACUACAACCAAACACCCUAAACCUUAUAAAUUACGAUGACUAGAUGAUUGUGGAGAUGUUAAGGUGAAUAAGAGAGUAUUGGUGAAUUUCUCAAUUGGGAGGUAUAGCAACGAGGUGUUGUGUGACAUCGUUUCUAUGCAUGUUGGCAUAUUUUGUUGGUAGGUCAUGGCAGUAUGAUAAGAAGGUGAAACGUCAUGGAUUUAAAAAUAGGUACAACUUUGAUAAAGACGAAAAAUCUAUUACACUUGUACUUUUAACACUACAAUAGGUCUGUGAAGACCAAACGAAAUUGAGAAGUGAGGAAGAAAGAAAGAGAAAAGAGAGGCAGAGAGAGAGAGAGAGAGAGAGAGAGAUGUGGCUAAUUUUGAGAAAAACAGAGUAGAGUCACAAGAGAGAAAAGAAAAAAGUCUGNUUGGUAACUUUUCAUAAUUUAGGAAUUUUUGUGAUUCAAAGGUGUUCCCUAUAAUUAUUUUAUAAAAUUGUUCUUUAGAGGCUUUUUUUCAUGAGGUUACAUAAAGAUUUGAAGAAGAUUUUCAUCUUCUAGAUUUUCAUCUUCUAAUAAACAAUAGUAAUUGCUGAAAGAAGAUAUUCAAUCUGCUAAUAAGCUUUAGAAAUUGAUGGUUCUGCAGCCAUGCUUGAGCAUCUAUGCUAGGUUUUUUUUAUAUACGUGUGUAAUACAGCUAUUUUUAAUGGAAGUGCUUUAUUUCUUUGAGCAGACAAUAAAUUGCAGUUUACAUAAAUGAGAUUUCUUUAUAGAGUUGGCCACUAGAGAAAUUUGGGAAUAUAUAUUUAUGCUUUUGUGUUAGAGAAUCAGCAAUUCAUCAGUUGCAAAAUUCAAUAAACAGUCUCUGAGAAUGGGGAAGUUUUCUAAAUCCCCACAUUGACUAGACAUGCUUUAUUCCCAACUUGUACUGGUAUCAAAUCUCCCUUAUUUUUUUUUGGAUUUGCACCCGCCAAUGUCCUGUUCCCUAAUUUAUAAUGAUUUGCAGACGAUGAAGAAGAUAUUUCAUAGUAAUUUGGUAAGACUUGCUGGCUUGGUGGUAAAAUGACGCACAAGUAAAAUUUUAGUGUAUUAGUUGCAUUGGGUUUUGAUGAGAUUUGCUGUCAAGAAACAACAUGUAACAUUGUGUUGAAAACAUUAACAAAAUGAAAUCAGAAGAGAAUAAUUGGUAUUGCAUUUAUAUCUCGGACACUAUCGAUUGCGCUUCACACAUGUUAUCCAAUGUAAGGGCAACCUAUUAAGUAGACCAUCUUCAGAAGUUAUGGUCAUUAACAAGUUCUUUUCGGUUGUUUGCUGCUUUUGUAGAAUCUAGCGUUUAUGUUUCAUAAAUCUCGUGUAUUUGAAGAAAUUCAAACAUGUCUAACAAGUAUGUUGUCAUUUGUCUUUUCUUUAGUAUCAUGCUUCUUCAUUUUUUACUUAUAAUAUCAACCCAGGUGCCAUGGAAUCACUUGUGAAUGCAGACGAUUCAAAGAGAUUUAUCAUUUUCAAGCUAUAUGCAACCGAGAUUCUUAAAAUUAUUGGUAUUAGAUAGUCUCAUGCAUACCAAGGCUAACUGAGUCAGAGGCAAAUUUUGCAUCAGAGGAUGUGACUUUUUUGAGAGAGGUGUAUGAGUAAAAAGCCAAAGUGCUUUCUCUCUCUAUAUAGAUGAUUAUUUUGUGGUCAUUUAUUUUGUGCUUUUUAUAAUUUUAUAAUAGUGAGAGAAUGAGAAUCAAUGUACGGUUUCUCUUAAAGAAAUAUGUUAUAAGCAUAACAGUUUAACUAUUGAGGACACCGAAGAAUAGGAAAGCCAG